CACGUAGGCGGCCCAUCAAGCGCUUUGUGAAAUCCCUCGGCUCAACCGAGGAACUGCUUGGCGAACUGAUGGGCUUGAGGCAGGUAGGGGCGUGUGGAACUCUUGGUGGAGCGGUGGAAUGCGUAGAUAUCAAGAGGAACACCGGAGGCGAAGGCGACACGCUAGGCCUGUCCUGACGCUGAGGUGCGAAAGCCAGGGGAGCAAACAGGAUUAGAUACCCUGGUAGUCC
This 229-nucleotide ribosomal RNA is filed under the name uncultured bacterium. RNAcentral's name for it is "partial 16S ribosomal RNA". It matches the Rfam family "Bacterial small subunit ribosomal RNA", at positions 568 to 796 of the family's 1533-position model. The record is from RNAcentral.